UACGGAGGGGGCUAGCGUUGUUCGGAAUUACUGGGCGUAAAGCGCACGUAGGCGGACUGUUAAGUCGGGGGUGAAAUCCUGGGGCUCAACCUCAGAAUUGCUUCCGAUACUGGCAGUCUCGAGUGCGGGAGAGGUGAGUGGAAUUCCCAGUGUAGAGGUGAAAUUCGUAGAUAUUGGGAAGAACACCAGUGGCGAAGGCGGCUCACUGGCCCGUAACUGACGCUGAGGUGCGAAAGCGUGGGGAGCAAACAGG
This 253-nucleotide ribosomal RNA is filed under the name uncultured bacterium. RNAcentral's name for it is "partial 16S ribosomal RNA". It matches the Rfam family "Bacterial small subunit ribosomal RNA", at positions 524 to 776 of the family's 1533-position model. The record is from RNAcentral.